AGUUCAGCACCUACCAUGCAAAGGCAUUGUGCCCUCACAGCCCAACUUCUAGCCUGGGCGGAGGGACAUGAGUGCUGUUCAGUGCGUGGGACCUCAGGUACCUUGGUAACUGGAUGCUCUUGUAAGAAAAAGAGGUGAAGACCAUGCUUGGCUCAUUGAUGAUUGAAGAACUGACAUCAUCCUGGUGUCCAAAUGUGAAAACAAACACCAUUUCCUACUUUGACUUCAGGUCUGGAACAGCUUCUGUGCCCCUGAAAGCCUCCUGAGUUACCCUCUCUACUUCAGCAGCACUGGGUUGUUUUGCCUGCAGGUGAGACUGUUCAGGGAUUCCCAUGAGGUCUCUCUGUCAUGGUGUAUUUUCCACCUGUGGUGUGAUAAAGUCAAAAGGAUGGGCUCUGUCUCAGAGGACUGUGGGCUGCCUGGAAUGAAUGAGUAUCCACACCACCUGCAUGCUGGCCAGAAAAAAUUAUCCUGA
This 475-nucleotide long non-coding RNA is filed under the name Apteryx owenii (little spotted kiwi). Its description in RNAcentral is "lncRNA (ENSAOWG00000008388.1)". The record is from RNAcentral. Lineage: Eukaryota; Metazoa; Chordata; Aves; Apterygiformes; Apterygidae.